GACAUACAAAGUCUACGGAGGUUAAACGCUGUCAAUCAGUAAUAAACAUCUCGCAUUUUACUUUUCUCUGAAUUAUUAAUUGAUCCUUGAAAGUAAACACGAGACAUGGAUGGGGCUGCAUCUACAGAAAGCCCACAAACAAAAGAACUCCAAGUUUUGGAUUAUGAGCUUCAGCAUUUGCAAGAUAACAGAAAGCUGUACCUAAAUCAGCCAAACAGUAAUCUGUAUUUCCUCUGCAGUAAGGCUGAAGCUCUCAGCCAUUUGGAAAAACAAAAGGAGAAGCUUUCAGAAAUGAAAAAGAAAACUUAGAAAAAAAAAUUGUUUCUUAGAAUAGGAUACACUCAUUUGUAAAUCUUGUGAAUGUCCAUGUUAUUCAAGAAACAUUUUUAUUCUUAAAGUGUAUUUUUAUUUUUAUUUUGUCUGUGUUAAGGUGAGAACAAUUUUGAAGUUUGUGUACAAGUAAAUUUGUGUGUUGGAAUCAUGGUUUAGAACUCAUUUUGAAAUUGUGUAAUUAUUUCACAUGUAUUGGUGCCGACUGUUUUACAAAACUAGAUGUAUGCUGAGAAUAAACGUAAUGAGUUA
This is a non-coding RNA of Penaeus vannamei (Pacific white shrimp), 582 nucleotides long. Lineage: Eukaryota; Metazoa; Arthropoda; Malacostraca; Decapoda; Penaeidae. The record is from RefSeq and is a predicted model, not a curated record.